AAUUAUAUGUUAUUAUGUAUAACUCUUUCUGCUCCAUGGGACACUAAAUAGCCGCAGUACCCUGACUGUGCAAAGGUAGCAUAAUCAGUUGACUUAUAAUUGAAGUCUGGAAUGAAUGAAUAAACGGGCAGCGACUGUCUAAGAGGGACGAAUAGGAAAUUAAUUAUCAAGUGCAAAUGCUUGAGAAACUAAAAUAGACGAGAAGACCCUAGAAACUUUAUAUUUUGUUGGGGCGACAGAAUUACAUGGAACUAAUUUUAUUGUUACGUGAAUCAAAGAAGAAAGGAGAAGUUACUCUAGGGAUAACAGCAUAAUUUAUUAUAGUUUGUGACCUCGAUGUUGGACUAGGUAAUAUAGUUUUUAGAAGAAACUAUUAGUUGCUCUGUUCGAGCAGUUUUACCUACAU
Molecule: ribosomal RNA, 406 nt
Rfam family: Archaeal large subunit ribosomal RNA